GUGCACCCCACCCCCUUCUCUGACCUCCACAGAGACAGCAAAGGCUUUGUUGUCAGACAGGGUGUGGUGGAUUCCACUGCCACUUACUAGCUCUGUGACCCUGGGCCAGUUACUGAGCCCAACUAUGCCUCAGUUCCCGCUUCUGUGACACAGGAUCAGAAGGUUCUUGUGGGGACUGAGAUGGAGUCUGGAAGACAUGCACAGAAGACAUUCACAGGCACUGACCAAGGUUGCGUUGACCAGAGACCUGAGGACAGAGCAUGGAGCUCGGUGCUGGGCCACUGCCCACCUGAAGCAAUCAGUUCCCUCCCUGAAGCCCUGGGCAGCUCUCUGCUUGACAUUCCAUCCUCUGGGGGUUGGUCAUGGUGAGAUCUGUGUCCUCCAUCCGGCAUCCCCUGAGGCCUGCACUCCACAUUUCCUCUCUGAAGCUGGAAGGGGUUUUGGAUGGAAAAGGCUCCAAGGGAGUGUGCAGCAGUUUUGUGAAUGGAGUCCUGUGUGAAGGCUUGUUGUUAUCUAAUUAUCACCAAUCUAAGCCAUUAUAAAACAUCGUGGUUAUCAGCUAAACCCUGCCUUCACGGAAAAGUCAUGGUAUUUCUCUGAACCGUGGUUUCCUUUUCUGUAACAGGAGGAAAACACCCUCUGUCAUCCAAUGCAGUUAACCUUUGAGAUGGCUCCCAGGGAUCUCCACCUGGUGUUCAUGUCCUUGUGUAGUGCCAUCUCUUUGAGUGUGAACUAGAACUAGUGACUGACUCCCUUCUAGGGAACAGACCAUAGCAAAAGUGAUAGGAUGUCCAUGGGGCCAGGACCUCAGGGGGGCUUCUGGCCAACAGCCAGUGAGGAACUGAAAUCCUGCCAACAGCCACAUGAGGGAACUUGGAAGCACGUGUUCCCCGCAACUGAGCAAGCCUUCAGAUGAGAACACAGCCCAGAGGCACCCAGCUCAGCCAUGCCUGGAUUCUUGGUCCACAAAAACUACAAGGCAAUAAAUGUUUCUUGUUUUAAGCCCGUAAGUUUUGGAGGGUAUCUGUUAUGCAGCUAUAGGUAACCAAUACACCUGGAGUUUUUCUACUCAGUGCAAGGCCCUAUUCUGCCCAUACAAGUAUUCAAGAUAUAUUUAUUGAGCACCACUGUGUGCCAGGCACUGUGCCUGGUAUAGGGUUUGCAGUGAUAAACCAGACAGAUGUUAUCCCCGCUCUCAAAGACCUCAAGGCUGAACUAAGGACACAGAUUUGUGAACGGACAGGGUGAGCA
Molecule: long non-coding RNA, 1251 nt
Organism: Mustela lutreola (European mink)
Lineage: Eukaryota; Metazoa; Chordata; Mammalia; Carnivora; Mustelidae
Exons: 3
Source: RefSeq, a predicted model, not a curated record